Molecule: long non-coding RNA, 3458 nt
Filed under: Papio anubis (olive baboon)
Lineage: Eukaryota; Metazoa; Chordata; Mammalia; Primates; Cercopithecidae
Description: lncRNA (ENSPANG00000041239.1)
Source: RNAcentral
UUCUGGCAGAAUAUUUUUAUUUCCUUCUAUUGAUAAACAGAAAAGGCUUCCACAUAUACAAAAAUAAUAAUAAUAAUAAUUCAGACCAUACAUUAUUUCUCUUCUUGAGUCUAAGGAUGGCAAGUAGAAGAAAGUGGUUGGAUUAAUUCAAUGUAUCUUUUGUUUAUUUCAAAAGCUAGAACUAUUAUUUAAAAAUAAAUCCAUCUGUUCUUACCCCUCCUGGUAUCCUUUAGUUACUUCUCUAUUCUCAUUUCACAUAUUAUUAGUUUUUUAAAAGUUAAUUGUAACAAUAAUCUCUGUAGAAUUGAGGAUUGCAGAUUCCAUUACUAUUUUUAAAAAUAAUCUUACUUGCCUUGCUUGCCAGAAUAACUUAGAAUCUCAUUCUCUACAUGUCAGACCCACAAAAGUGGGUAUUAUCAUUUUUGCAACAAAAUUCCUCAUAAUGGCCCUGGAGAGAAUGUUAAAAAUAUUUUUUUUCUGAAUCCUGUCACUGGUUUUUUUUUUUUAGGGAAACAAACAGGAAAAGAGAAAGCAAAGGAAAAAAGGAACCAACGUGUAUAUAGCUUUAAUGUUUGUAAUCUACGUGCAAAAAAAUUUCAGAGUAUUUUCAGCUAUUUCCUGUGAAGCAUACUGCACAAAGGCUCCCCUGUACUCCUUCCCUGGAAAUCCACAAUCAGUCUUAUGCCAUUUGGCAUGAUUUCCAACCGUGAGAAGCACUGAACAAUUUCUUCCUUGCUACAUUCAAAGGGGAGUACAAAGCCAUCAUUGGCCGUGUCAGAACUAUCUGGACCACUAUGCUUCAGCGCCGCAUCCAUCUCAACGUUGUUUGACUUGAAUACUGAAACAUAUCUGUCUCUUAUAAUUUCUUUGUCUUUUUUCAAGUCGAAUUUGACCUCAUGCUCUCAAGUUCAGCAAAAGUCUCACCACUCAGUCUGCCUUCUCUGCUGUAGAUGAAAUGAAUACGUGGAGCCCUAUUUUAAAUUUUGCACUCAGAAAAAAAUCCACUGCACUCUAUUGGCUGAGCAAGACUAGGGCAAUCUCUGGACCUUCAUUAUGAAUCCCUGUCCACCUUCAGUGCCCAACAUCAUCAUCUCUUACAGGAUCUGACACUGAAACAGACUAGACACCUGACUUUGACGUGACUGAGCAGAAAAUCUCCUUUUUUUUUUUUUUCUACAUGUUCAUUUCUGUUGCUUCCAUGGUAACCCAACUUCCGUCUAUUGUUUGUUUCAUUCACCUUUAAUAGAAACGGCUUUAGUUCGUGUGUUUCUUUAAUUUUAAUUUAUUUUAGAUUCCAGCAGACAUGUGCAGAACGUGCAGGUUUGUUACAUAGGUAAAUGUGUGCCAUGGUGGUUUGCUGCACAGGCUAACAGCAGACCUCUCAGCAGAAAACCUACAAGCCAGGAGAGAGUGGGCACCAACAUUCAACGUUCUUAAAGAAAAUAAUUUUUAACCUGUGUGGUUUUAAUUCUGAUGUUGUCAGCUUGUGUCUGAGCUUUGGAAUACUUAUUUCAGCAUCUAUGAUUUUCUUUUAUUAUGUAUAUUUAAAACCCAAGAAAGACAAUUUAAAAACUAAAUGAGUGAGAAUAUAUCACUUAUUCUUUUAGACCCUGUUGAAAUGUUGUAUCUUGUAGGAUCUGGAUGUGAUGUGAAUGUACAUUUUGUUGGUUUUAAUUUAAAUUGACAAAAAAUUGCUCAUUAUUUUUAAGAAGUCAAGCAAUUCACAAGUAAAAGUAACAGUUAAAAUGCCCUUUGACUCUCUUGUAUUAUCAACCCCAAACUCUCCUCUCUUAUUUACGAACGAAACAUUUUUGCUAAUCAGGCAUACCUUGUAAAAUUUUGUAGACAUUUACACACACACAUAUACACAUAAACGGUGUUUUAUCUUUUAUUUCGAAUAAGUGACAUAAAAAGUCAUAGUCCAUAUACAUUUUCAACCUACUUCUUUUCCACGAACCUUUUUCCAUAUUAAUACUUCAUCUCGGCUGGGCACAGUGGCUCAUGCUUGUAGUCCCAGCACUUUGGGUGGUCGAAGUGGGUGGAUCACCUGAGGUCAGGAGAUAAGAGACCAGUCUGGCCAACGUGGUGAAACCCCAUCUUUCCUAAAAAUAUAAAAAUUCGCUGGGAGGGGUGGCACUUGCCUGUAAUCCCAGCUACUCAGGAGGCUGAGGAAGGAGAAUCGCUUAAACCUGGGAGGCAGAUGUUGCAGUGAACUGAGAUCCUACCACUGCACUCCAGCCUGGGCAACAAGAGCUAGACUCCAUCUCAAAAAAAAAAAAAAAAAAAAAAAAACCAAAAAAAACUUCAUCUUAUUGACCAUUUUCAUACAAUUAAAUAGUGUAUGUAUAGUAUAACUAAUUUUAUUUUUUGAGUUCAUCUUUACAAAUGAAUGGUCAUGUUAUUUAGAGCACUGUAGACAUUCAUGUGGAUUUCUUCAUAUUCCCCUAGUAUCUAGCCAUUUAUUUCAUCUUUUCCCAUUUUUCCCUUUUAUUCCUUUAAUCAUGUCAGUACUGCGUGUAGACUUUCUAGCAUAGCAUCAAUUUUCUUGGAAUGGAGUGCCUCAUAUAUCUAUAAAAUGAAAACUUUUUCUUUCCCAAGAAUAUCUUUAAGGUGUCCUCACUUUGCAGGUAAGGUUUUGAUUCUUCCUCAAACCAUUUUCUAGGCCUGCACUAUAUUCUUUUCAACUGUGUGACAAUUCAUCUAAUUUGGGACUGUCGAUCUAUCCUUUUAGUUUUCCCAAAUUAAGUAAACAGUAAAUAGAAGCAGAAGUAAAUUCAAACCUAGGACUGCUUUUAGGUUGUCCGCAUGAUAUAAACAGCUAGAUGGAAAUGGUAAACCUUUCAGUCCCCAGCUGCGAGUGGUGGCUCAGAGAGUAAUAUAUUAAGUGAACUAAUAGAAGGCAUAACUAAAUGCUGUGGAUAUGCAGAGAAGAUCUUAAUUCUGCUUGGGGUACUCAGAGAAUGCUUUAGAGAACUGACAAUUUAGCUGAGCCUUUAAGGAAGAGUUUUCCAACAGGGCCAGAGGAAAAGGGCAUUCCAGGGAGAGGAGAGAAUGUUUAAAAAGGGUACAAUGGGAUGAAAGUUUAUGUUAUGUUCACAAAAGAGCAAGUAAUUCAGGCUCUGUGAAUAGGGAGUGUAUGUUGGGGUCAAGUUGACAGGGACUAAGUGAUAAUUAGGGUCAGACGUUGACGAAUGUAGACCUUAUCCUGAUAGUGAUGGAAAAGCCAUGGGAGCAUUGUAUGCAAGGGCUUGAAAAGACGAAGUUUGUGGUUUAGAACACGGGUCAGGAAACAUUUUUGUCUGUAAAGAGCCAGAUAGUAAACAUUUUAGGAUUUGUAGGCUGCAUAGGGUCUUCAGUGCAUAUGCCUCAUUUUCUUCUUUGCUUCACUUCCUCCUCCACCUUUGCCUUCUCCUCUUCCUCCUUUCUGUUCUCCUCCUCCUUCUUCCUUUACAACCCUU